This 492-nucleotide ribosomal RNA is filed under the name uncultured bacterium. RNAcentral describes it as "partial 16S ribosomal RNA". It matches the Rfam family "Bacterial small subunit ribosomal RNA", at positions 29 to 506 of the family's 1533-position model. The record is from RNAcentral.
AGUGAACGCUGGCGGUAGGCCUAACACAUGCAAGUCGAACGGCAGCACAGUAAGAGCUUGCUCUUACGGGUGGCGAGUGGCGGACGGGUGAGGAAUACAUCGGAAUCUACUUUUUCGUGGGGGAUAACGUAGGGAAACUUACGCUAAUACCGCAUACGACCUACGGGUGAAAGCAGGGGAUCUUCGGACCUUGCGCGAUUGAAUGAGCCGAUGUCGGAUUAGCUAGUUGGCGGGGUAAAGGCCCACCAAGGCGACGAUCCGUAGCUGGUCUGAGAGGAUGUACAGGCCCACCGGGAAUGAAACACGGGGCCAGCCCCCCAAGGGGGGCAGAAGUGGGGAAAAUGGGAAAAGGGGGGAAAGCCUAACCCAGCCAUACCGGGUGGGUGAAAAAGGCCUUCGGGUUGGAAAGCCCUUUUGUUGGGAAAAAAAAGCAGCAGGUUAAUACCCCGUUUUUCGGACGGUACCCAAAGAAUAAGCACGGGCUAAUUUCGU